Molecule: long non-coding RNA, 571 nt
Organism: Lingula anatina
Lineage: Eukaryota; Metazoa; Brachiopoda; Lingulata; Lingulida; Lingulidae
Source: RefSeq, a predicted model, not a curated record
GAAAGCGCGACUUCAAUACGUACACUAGUGACCUAUUUAUAGCGCAUUGAAUGCACGGGUUCUCACCUGUGAAAACCGCUCGUUUGGAGGAAGGCUGGAAAUAGCCGAAAUCGAGGCCACUGCGAGGUGACGUCAGGGGUAUGGCCUACACUGUCUGCGACUGAGUUGGUAGGGAGAUUCACGAGUCGGACUAUGGUCUGGACGACGUAGAUGAUGAAAGAAAUGAGGCGAGCACGGCAAGCGUCCGAAGCUUGACACAGUCGGUACUCCCUUACAAAUUUGAACUCUUUCAGUCAGACUCUGAAGACGAGGGAGAUGGCGGUGGCACUGGUGUCACUUCCAGUUUACAAGUUCUAUAUUUACUUCCUUAGUGAAAGGUGGUGUUUGUUAUAUCACCAUGCACUCAGGAUUUGAUCAGGGCUGUCUAAAUCCCUAUACAUUGGAAAUCGCAUACUUUCAGCACAGGAAAUAGUAAUUCAAGAAAUAUCUUCAAAUAUAUUAUUGCCAAGUGGUGUGGCGGUGCAGAUUUCUUUGGGGGAAAAGAAGGCAGGGUCCCCCUACCUGCUUGUGC